RNAcentral lists this ribosomal RNA (462 nucleotides) under uncultured bacterium. RNAcentral's name for it is "partial 16S ribosomal RNA". It matches the Rfam family "Bacterial small subunit ribosomal RNA", at positions 28 to 507 of the family's 1533-position model. The record is from RNAcentral.
GACGAACGCUGGCGGCGUGCUUAACACAUGCAAGUCGAACGGAAAGGCCCUUCGGGGUACUCGAGUGGCGAACGGGUGAGUAACACGUGGGUGAUCUGCCCUGCACUUUGGGAUAAGCCUGGGAAACUGGGUCUAAUACCCAAUAGGACCACGCGCUUCAUGGUGUGUGGUGGCAAGCUUUUGCGGUGUGGGAUGGGCCCGCGGCCUAUCAGCUUGUUGGUGGGGUAAUGGCCUACCAAGGCGACGACGGGUAGCCGGCCUGAGAGGGUGACCGGCCACACUGGGACUGAGAUACGGCCCAGACUCCUACGGGAGGCAGCAGUGGGGAAUAUUGCACAAUGGGCGCAAGCCUGAUGCAGCGACGCCGCGUGAGGGAUGACGGCCUUCGGGUUGUAAACCUCUUUCAAUAGGGACGAAGCGCAAGUGACGGUACCUAUAGAAGAAGCACCGGCCAACUACGUG